This is a long non-coding RNA of Octopus sinensis (East Asian common octopus), 418 nucleotides long. RefSeq lists it as uncharacterized. The transcript is spliced from 2 exons. NCBI's taxonomy places the organism in Eukaryota, Metazoa, Mollusca, Cephalopoda, Octopoda, Octopodidae. The record is from RefSeq and is a predicted model, not a curated record.
GACAGCUCCCUUGUAGUUAAGGCAAUUAAGGGUAUGAAACCAGGUAAAGCCCCCGGCCCAUCAGGUAUCGCUGCUGAGAUGCUUAAAACAGCUAGUUAUGUGGGCUAUUUAAGCAGAGGGGGGAGAAGCGAGUAAUUUACUUAACGAAAUUCUAAGAGAUGGAGCGAACAAGGGUCAGUCGGAAUUUAGGGACGGUCAGAAUUUAAGCAGAGGGGGGAGAAGCGAGUAAUUUACUUAACGAAAUUCUAAGAGAUUGAGCGAACAAGGGUGAGUCGGAAUUUAGGGACGGUCAGAAUUUAAGCAGAGGGGGGAGAAGCGAGUAAUUUACUUAACGAAAUUCUAAUAGAUGGAGCUAAAAACUAACAGAAAGAGGGAAGAGAAAAAUGUUCUUAGCUUGACGUCACGAUCAUCGUAUGGU